Long non-coding RNA from Amblyraja radiata (thorny skate), 78 nucleotides. RefSeq lists it as uncharacterized. The transcript is spliced from 3 exons. The record is from RefSeq and is a predicted model, not a curated record. NCBI's taxonomy places the organism in Eukaryota, Metazoa, Chordata, Chondrichthyes, Rajiformes, Rajidae.
UGGCCAAGUCAAUCACCCGAUCUGAACCUAAUUGAGCAUGCCUUGUAUAUGCUGAUGAGAAAACUACGCCCCUCAAAC